CCCUUAGAUGUUCUGGGCUGCACGCGCGCUACACUGAUGCACUCAACGAGUUUACGACCUUGCCCGAUAGGGUUGGGUAAUCUUUUUAAAAUGCAUCGUGAUGGGGAUAGAUUAUUGCAAUUAUUAAUCUUCAACGAGGAAUUCCUAGUAAGCGCGAGUCAUCAGCUCGUGCUGAUUACGUCCCUGCCCUUUGUACACACCGCCCGUCGCUCCUACCGAUUGAGUGCUCAGGUGAAUAAUUCGGACUGCAGCAAUGUUUGGAUCCCGAACGUUGCAGCGGAAAGUUUAGUGAACCUUAUCACUUAGCGGAAGGAGAAGUCGUAACA
This 326-nucleotide ribosomal RNA is filed under the name uncultured eukaryote. Its description in RNAcentral is "partial 18S ribosomal RNA". It matches the Rfam family "Eukaryotic small subunit ribosomal RNA", at positions 1470 to 1796 of the family's 1831-position model. The record is from RNAcentral.